Molecule: ribosomal RNA, 629 nt
Filed under: Penicillium sp. MT 2
Lineage: Eukaryota; Fungi; Ascomycota; Eurotiomycetes; Eurotiales; Aspergillaceae
Description: eukaryotic LSU rRNA
Rfam family: Eukaryotic large subunit ribosomal RNA
Source: RNAcentral
ACCCGCUGAACUUAAGCAUAUCAAUAAGCGGAGGAAAAGAAACCAACAGGGAUUGCCCCAGUAACGGCGAGUGAAGCGGCAAGAGCUCAAAUUUGAAAGCUGGCUCCUUCGGGGUCCGCAUUGUAAUUUGCAGAGGAUGCUUCGGGAGCGGUCCCCAUCUAAGUGCCCUGGAACGGGACGUCAUAGAGGGUGAGAAUCCCGUAUGGGAUGGGGUGUCCGCGCCCGUGUGAAGCUCCUUCGACGAGUCGAGUUGUUUGGGAACGCAGCUCUAAAUGGGUGGUAAAUUUCAUCUAAAGCUAAAUAUUGGCCGGAGACCGAUAGCGCACAAGUAGAGUGAUCGAAAGAUGAAAAGCACUUUGAAAAGAGAGUUAAAAAGCACGUGAAAUUGUUGAAAGGGAAGCGCUUGCGACCAGACUCGCUCGCGGGGUUCAGCCGGCAUUCGUGCCGGUGUACUUCCCCGCGGGCGGGCCAGCGUCGGUUUGGGCGGUCGGUCAAAGGCCCUCGGAAGGUAACGCCCCUAGGGGCGUCUUAUAGCCGAGGGUGCAAUGCGACCUGCCUAGACCGAGGAACGCGCUUCGGCUCGGACGCUGGCAUAAUGGUCGUAAGCGACCCGUCUUGAAACACGGACC